UAUAGUGAUAGUGAGAUUAACAGUAAAUGAAGACAAUUGCUACACGUGCAAACAAAAAAUUAACCCCCAGCUGAAACCAUCGGGCCCUCCAAAACACCAAUAAAGCAACAAGUAAAAAUUUAAAAGGCAAAAUUAUAUCAAUAUCGAAUAAAGAACAAAGGCUUGUCUAAUUUCAUAUGUUUUUUUGCGAAUGUCUAAUUCAUAUGUUUUUCAUGUUUCAAAUUUGGCAUGAAAUCGUUUGGUUUUCACUACUAUAUUGCAUCUACCAUCUUUUAGUAUCUAAGGAAAAGAAUAGAAUUUGUAUAGGAACCAAUUUGUCUAAAUCAGUCCAGGUUGUCAUCAGCCAAGCCAAUAAAUUGAAUGACAGCGCCUAAAUUAAAUCCCAUGAAAAUUUCUAUUCAAUCGAAUCCCAGUUUUCGGUCCAUCUCAAUCCUGGCCCUCUGCCAUAGUCUCCCAAUUCAUAGCUCACAACUGCUGGCUGCUGCCUCCUGUACACUUUUGCUGCUCCCUGCCCCAUUUCUGUUUGCCUAACCACAUGACAUCAGUUUAUUUCCGCCUACGCCUCCACCCUCCUGACCCUUCAAAUCACUUCCUCCUUCCAAUCAUUGACGAAGGCCCCAUGGUCUAUGUGUUCAUCUCCCACGCUUUGACUCCCCUACGUCACUGAUGCCUCAUCCUCUUCCUUCUUCCCCCAAAGGACCUGUUCAUUUGUUCCAGGACA
Molecule: long non-coding RNA, 721 nt
Filed under: Setaria viridis
Lineage: Eukaryota; Viridiplantae; Streptophyta; Magnoliopsida; Poales; Poaceae
Description: long non-coding RNA (SVIR_LNC008773)
Source: RNAcentral